Molecule: ribosomal RNA, 237 nt
Filed under: uncultured bacterium
Lineage: Bacteria
Description: partial 16S ribosomal RNA
Rfam family: Bacterial small subunit ribosomal RNA
Source: RNAcentral
GUAACCUACGGGACGCAGCAGUAGGGAAUCUUCCACAAUGGACGAAAGUCUGAUGGAGCAACGCCGCGUGAGUGAAGAAGGGUUUCGGCUCUUAAAGCCUUGUUUGUGGGGAAGAAAGAUAGAGGUAGUAACUGGCCUUUAUUUGACGGUAAUUACUUAGAAAGUCACGGCUAACUACGUGCCAGCAGCCGCGGUAAUACGUAGGUGGCAAGCGGUGUCCGGAUUUAUUGGGCGUAA